AAAGAUAAAAAGUAAUUUUGGUUGGGAGGAGGCUACGGGUAUAAUGAGUAUAGGAAGAAAAACGACAGUGGCAGGCGCGGAGGGAAUUACAGAGGGGAAUUGGCAAAUUCGAUUUUUGGCAGACGCAGAGUGAAAUUGGCAUAGUGGUUCUUGUCUUGAUCCGGAACCAUCAUCUAUUCUGGGGAGCAGAGAGAGAAGUUGGAUAUACAGAGAAUACCAAGGCUAUUCGAAGGGGGAUCCAUAUACACAAUUGAAAAGAGAAAAAAGAGAGGGAGGAGAAAACCAUCACGUUUCCAUCACCUUCACGAUAAUCAUCACUCCUCCAACGCUAACCACCAGACACCUCUCACAUUACUUACUAAGCAUUCCUCCAUUCCUCCCUUAUCAUCAAUCAAUCUUUGAUUCCUCCCUUCCAUCUGAUUCGAUACACUAAAAACCAGAGUAUCCACCAUUGUCCCCAACCUCAUCAACUCAACAGAAUCGUCAUCCCUGCCACAAUCACCCAUCACACACACGACAUUCCCUUUUGACUCACAACUCCUCUCUGCCCUCACGCAUAACCAUCACUCACCGGAAAAGAAAAAAAGCUCCUCCAUUCUCUGUCAAUGUUAACAAACUGAUAUCCACCAAUCACAGAGCCAGAUUCUCAAUCACAGAUCACGCCUUACCUUCUUCUUCCAUCUUCAU
Molecule: long non-coding RNA, 687 nt
Filed under: Vigna radiata
Lineage: Eukaryota; Viridiplantae; Streptophyta; Magnoliopsida; Fabales; Fabaceae
Description: long non-coding RNA (VRAD_LNC000819)
Source: RNAcentral